UACGUAGGGUGCGAGCGUUGUCCGGAAUUAUUGGGCGUAAAGGGCGCGUAGGCGGCGCGACAAGUCACUUGUGAAAUCUCCGGGCUUAACCCGGAGCGGCCAAGUGAUACUGUAGUGCUAGAGUGCGGAAGGGGCUACUGGAAUUCUCGGUGUAGCGGUGAAAUGCGUAGAUAUCGAGAGGAACACCUGCGGCGAAGGCGGGUAGCUGGGCCGACACUGACGCUGAGGCGCGAAAGCCAGGGGAGCGAACGGG
This 253-nucleotide ribosomal RNA is filed under the name uncultured bacterium. RNAcentral describes it as "partial 16S ribosomal RNA". It matches the Rfam family "Bacterial small subunit ribosomal RNA", at positions 524 to 776 of the family's 1533-position model. The record is from RNAcentral.